AGGUGCCAGGAUCCCACACAGUUGUGCUUAUUCAUUUCCUGGCUACUGCCCAAUUUGUUGGUUUUUUAUUUUUUUUAAUUUUUUUUAAUUUUUUUUUCCAACGUUUAUUUAUUUUUGGGACAGAGAGAGACAGAGCAUGAACGGGCGAGAGGCAGAGAGAGAGGGAGACACAGAAUCGGAAACAGGCUCCAGGCUCUGAGCCAUCAGCCCAGAGCCCGACGCGGGGCUCGAACUCACGGACCGCGAGAUCGUGACCUGGCUGAAGUCGGACGCUUAACCGACUGCGCCACCCAGGCGCCCCUGUUGGUUUUUGAAUCAUGGAGAAUGUUGACCCCUAGGAGCACCUCUCUCAACGAGAACUAUCUCACGUAUCAUGGUAAACUCCCUAGGCCACAGUUAUUGUGAUCUUCUUCAAACCCUUACAUCCACACCAACUAGCUGACAAUUAUGUGAGUUAGACAUGGCUUUCACUCUUCAAUCACUCAUUUUUUGUCUGUUUCUGUGUUCAUUACUUUUACAACAGCUUCAUUCUUUGUCCUUAUUUAUUAUUCUG
Molecule: long non-coding RNA, 553 nt
Filed under: Felis catus (domestic cat)
Lineage: Eukaryota; Metazoa; Chordata; Mammalia; Carnivora; Felidae
Description: lncRNA (ENSFCAG00000046900.1)
Source: RNAcentral